This 478-nucleotide ribosomal RNA is filed under the name uncultured bacterium. RNAcentral describes it as "partial 16S ribosomal RNA". It matches the Rfam family "Bacterial small subunit ribosomal RNA", at positions 28 to 523 of the family's 1533-position model. The record is from RNAcentral.
GACGAACGCUGGCGGCAUGCCUAACACAUGCAAGUCGAGCGAGCAGAUCCCUUCGGGGUGAAGCUAGCGGCGGACGGGUGAGUAACACGUGGGCAACCUGCCUCAUAGAGGGGAAUAGCCUUCCGAAAGGAAGAUUAAUACCGCAUAAGAUUGUAGCUUCGCAUGAAGCAGCAAUUAAAGGAGCAAUCCGCUAUGAGAUGGGCCCGCGGCGCAGUAGCUAGUUGGUGAGGUAACGGCUCACCAAGGCGACGAUGCGUAGCCGACCUGGGAGGGUGAUCGGCCACAUUGGGACUGAGACACGGCCCAGACUCCUACGGGAGGCAGCAGUGGGGAAUAUUGCACAAUGGGGGAAACCCUGAUGCAGCAAUGCCGCGUGAGUGAUGACGGCCUUCGGGUUGUAAAGCUCUGUCUUCGGGGACGAUAAUGACGGUACCCGAGGAGGAAGCCACGGCUAACUACGUGCCAGCCGCCGCGGUAA